This 253-nucleotide ribosomal RNA is filed under the name uncultured bacterium. Its description in RNAcentral is "partial 16S ribosomal RNA". It matches the Rfam family "Bacterial small subunit ribosomal RNA", at positions 524 to 776 of the family's 1533-position model. The record is from RNAcentral.
UACGUAGGGUGCAAGCGUUAAUCGGAGUUACUGGGCGUAAAGCGUGCGCAGGCGGUUUUGUAAGUCUGUCGUGAAAUCCCCGGGCUCAACCUGGGAAUGGCAAUGGAGACUGCAAGGCUAGAGUUUGGCAGAGGGGGGUAGAAUUCCACGUGUAGCAGUGAAAUGCGUAGAGAUGUGGAGGAACACCGAUGGCGAAGGCAGCCCCCUGGGUCAAAACUGACGCUCAUGCACGAAAGCGUGGGGAGCAAACAGG